This 998-nucleotide ribosomal RNA is filed under the name Streptococcus salivarius. Its description in RNAcentral is "bacterial SSU rRNA". It matches the Rfam family "Bacterial small subunit ribosomal RNA", at positions 56 to 1036 of the family's 1533-position model. Lineage: Bacteria; Bacillati; Bacillota; Bacilli; Lactobacillales; Streptococcaceae. The record is from RNAcentral.
UGCAGUAGAACGCUGAAGAGAGGAGCUUGCUCUUUCUUGGAUGAGUUGCGAACGGGUGAGUAACGCGUAGGUAACCUGCCUUGUAGCGGGGGAUAACUAUUGGAAACGAUAGCUAAUACCGCAUAACAAUGGGUGACUCAUGUCAUUUAUUUGAAAGGGGCAAAUGCUCCACUACAAGAUGGACCUGCGUUGUAUUAGCUAGUAGGUGAGGUAACGGCUCACCUAGGCGACGAUACAUAGCCGACCUGAGAGGGUGAUCGGCCACACUGGGACUGAGACACGGCCCAGACUCCUACGGGAGGCAGCAGUAGGGAAUCUUCGGCAAUGGGGGCAACCCUGACCGAGCAACGCCGCGUGAGUGAAGAAGGUUUUCGGAUCGUAAAGCUCUGUUGUAAGUCAAGAACGAGUGUGAGAGUGGAAAGUUCACACUGUGACGGUAGCUUACCAGAAAGGGACGGCUAACUACGUGCCAGCAGCCGCGGUAAUACGUAGGUCCCGAGCGUUGUCCGGAUUUAUUGGGCGUAAAGCGAGCGCAGGCGGUUUGAUAAGUCUGAAGUUAAAGGCUGUGGCUCAACCAUAGUUCGCUUUGGAAACUGUCAAACUUGAGUGCAGAAGGGGAGAGUGGAAUUCCAUGUGUAGCGGUGAAAUGCGUAGAUAUAUGGAGGAACACCGGUGGCGAAAGCGGCUCUCUGGUCUGUAACUGACGCUGAGGCUCGAAAGCGUGGGGAGCGAACAGGAUUAGAUACCCUGGUAGUCCACGCCGUAAACGAUGAGUGCUAGGUGUUGGAUCCUUUCCGGGAUUCAGUGCCGCAGCUAACGCAUUAAGCACUCCGCCUGGGGAGUACGACCGCAAGGUUGAAACUCAAAGGAAUUGACGGGGGCCCGCACAAGCGGUGGAGCAUGUGGUUUAAUUCGAAGCAACGCGAAGAACCUUACCAGGUCUUGACAUCCCGAUGCUAUUUCUAGAGAUAGAAAGUUACUUCGGUACAUCGGUGACA